CUUGUGCUCCCUCCGUCUGGAAAUACUUGUCGAAGAAAUGAAUAAAAAAAUGAAUGUAUCUAGAACUAAAAUACAUCUAGAUACAUCCAUUCCUCCGAUGAGUAUUUGCGGACGGAGGGGGACUAC
Molecule: non-coding RNA, 126 nt
Organism: Triticum aestivum (bread wheat)
Lineage: Eukaryota; Viridiplantae; Streptophyta; Magnoliopsida; Poales; Poaceae
Source: Rfam